CUACGGGAGGCUCCAGUGGGGAAUAUUGGACAAUGGGGGAAACCCUGAUCCAGCAAUGCCGCGUGUGUGAAGAAGGCCUGCGGGUUGUAAAGCACUUUCGGUUGGGAGGACUGCUUCUAGCACUAAUAUUGUUGGAAGUUGACGUUACCUUCAGAAGAAGCACCGGCUAACUCCGUGCCAGCAGCCGCGGUAAUAGGGAGGGUGCAAGCGUUAAUCGGAAUUACUGGGCGUAAAGCGCGCGUAGGCGGCUAGAUCAGUCGGGUGUGAAAGCCCCGGGCUUAACCUGGGAACUGCAUCCGAUACUGGCUAGCUUGAGUACAGGAGAGGAGAGUGGAAUUCCACAUGUAGCGGUGAAAUGCGUAGAUAUGUGGAGGAACACCAAUGGCGAAGGCAGCUCUCUGGCCUGAUACUGACGCUGAGGUGCGAAAGCGUGGGGAGCAAACAGGAUUAGAUACCCGGGUAGUC
Molecule: ribosomal RNA, 465 nt
Filed under: uncultured bacterium
Lineage: Bacteria
Description: partial 16S ribosomal RNA
Rfam family: Bacterial small subunit ribosomal RNA
Source: RNAcentral